CUGCUUCUUAGCCUUCACCCUGUGCUUUCCCCAGUGCUGUUUACUGUGACCAGGAAACGGAGACUCUGCUCCCGCUGGACUGAGGGACUGAAAUUGUGGCUGGUGCAUUGCAGGUUACCUAAGUGUUAUURUGAUGAGAAGGGCCUCUGAGAUGAAGCUCAGCCUGUGGCUGGGCCGAAGGCUCUGAAAGCUGCAGGUGCUUCCAGCCGGAUCCUGCUGUGUGCCAGCCG
This is a long non-coding RNA of Nothoprocta perdicaria, 230 nucleotides long. RefSeq lists it as uncharacterized. NCBI's taxonomy places the organism in Eukaryota, Metazoa, Chordata, Aves, Tinamiformes, Tinamidae. The transcript has 2 exons. The record is from RefSeq and is a predicted model, not a curated record.